ACCCUGUCCCUCAACCGUCGCUCCAAUACUAGCCCAACAGAAGACAAAGCAAAAGUAAUGUUGUCCAAAGCUGUGUGUUGGGGAAAUGACCACCGAUGGAUGCUGUGCCUCAAUUUCCAUUCUGUUUGAAUAUACUUAUAUCACAGCCCCACCUCUCUUUCUAUCUUUAAAUUAAGUACUGGAAAGCUUUAUUUUAACCUAUUAAUGUGGGGCCUCUGGGUCUUGGAAUUGAGCCGAGGACUUGGUAGCUGUGCUAGUUUGUCCACUCAGAAUUCUUUUGAAAAGAGACCAAGUUACAAAUGAUUGGGUUCUGUUAUGUUUCUAUUAAAUUUCCUUCCACUCCUGACUA
This 349-nucleotide long non-coding RNA is filed under the name Rattus norvegicus (Norway rat). RNAcentral describes it as "long non-coding RNA NONRATT015517". The record is from RNAcentral. Lineage: Eukaryota; Metazoa; Chordata; Mammalia; Rodentia; Muridae.